This 520-nucleotide ribosomal RNA is filed under the name uncultured bacterium. Its description in RNAcentral is "bacterial SSU rRNA". It matches the Rfam family "Bacterial small subunit ribosomal RNA", at positions 26 to 518 of the family's 1533-position model. The record is from RNAcentral.
AGGACGAACGCUGGCGGCGUGCCUAAUACAUGCAAGUCGAACGGCUUUUCUAUGGAAGCUUGCUUCCACUGAGAAGAUAGUGGCGAACGGGUGAGUAACACGUGGGUAACCUGCCCAUAAGAGGGGGAUAACAUCCGGAAACGGGUGCUAAUACCGCAUAGUUUUCUUGAUCGCAUGAUUGAGAAAGGAAAGACGGCCUUUGUGCUGUCGCUUAUGGAUGGACCCGCGGCGUAUUAGUUAGUUGGUGAGGUAACGGCUCACCAAGACGAUGAUACGUAGCCGACCUGAGAGGGUGAUCGGCCACAUUGGGACUGAGACACGGCCCAAACUCCUACGGGAGGCAGCAGUAGGGAAUCUUCCGCAAUGGACGAAAGUCUGACGGAGCAACGCCGCGUGAGUGAAGAAAAGGUUUUCGGAUCGUAAAACUCUGUUGUCAGAGAAGAACAAGUUGGAGAGUAACUGCUCCAGCCUUGACGGUAUCUGACCAGAAAGCCACGGCUAACUACGUGCCAGCCGCUGC